RNAcentral lists this ribosomal RNA (1235 nucleotides) under Conger myriaster (whitespotted conger). RNAcentral's name for it is "partial 16S ribosomal RNA". It matches the Rfam family "Bacterial large subunit ribosomal RNA", at positions 696 to 2571 of the family's 2925-position model. Lineage: Eukaryota; Metazoa; Chordata; Actinopteri; Anguilliformes; Congridae. The record is from RNAcentral.
AGCAUCAUAGUCUGAGACCCCGAAACUAGACGAGCUACUCCGAAGCAGUCUAAAAGGACUAACCCGUCUCUGUGGCAAAAGAGUGGGAAGACUUCCGAGUAGAGGUGAAAAGCCUACCGAGCCUAGUUAUAGCUGGUUGCUUAAGAAAAGAAUAUGAGUUCAGCCUUAUAAGUUUCUCAAAAAUCAAAAUGAAAGAAUAAAGUAACACAUAAGAGUUAGUCGAAGGGGGUACAGCUCCUUCGAAAAAGAACACAACCUUACCCAGGUAAAUAAGGAUUAUACUAAAAAAGGACAUGACUUUCAACAGUGGGCCCGAAAGCAGCCACCUCUAAUAGAAAGCGUUAAAGCUCAAGAACAGCCACACCAAAAAUAAAAAUAACCACUCCUAAUUUCCUAAUAAUAUUAAGCUGCCCUAUUUUAUAGGAGAAAUUAUGCUAAAAUGAGUAAUAAGAGAAACUAGACCCUCUCCGGGCACACGUGUAAAUUAGAGCGGACAAACCACUGACAACUAACGGACCCAAAAAAGAGGGUAAAACAACAAAACUCAAUAAACAAGAAAAACCUAUUAAAACAACCGUUAACCCAACACAGGAGUGCCACUUAAGGAAAGACUAAAAGGGGAAGAAGGAACUCGGCAAACACAAACCUCGCCUGUUUACCAAAAACACCGCCUCCUGCAAAUAGAAUGUAUUGGAGGUCCUGCCUGCCCAGUGACAAUAGGUUCAACGGCCGCGGUAUUUUGACCGUGCAAAGGUAGCGUAAUCACCUGUCUUUUAAAUAAAGACCUGUAUGAAUGGCAAGACGAGGGUUUUACUGUCUCCUCCCCCCAGUCAAUGAAAUUGAUCUACCCGUGCAGAAGCGGGUAUAAAAACAUAAGACGAGAAGACCCUAUGGAGCUUUAGGCACACAUCAAAUAUGUAAAAAACCAAAUCUUCCAAAUAGGCCUAAAAAAUGAGAAAAACAAGUAUUAAUGAUUAAUUGCCUUCGGUUGGGGCGACCACGGGGAAAAAUAAAACCCCCACAUGGAAUGGGUAAAAUUAUCCUAAGCCAAGAAAAACAAUUCUAAGCAACAAAAUUUUUGACCAAUAAACGACCCAGGGACAACAUCCCUGAGCAAUGAACCAAGUUACCCUAGGGAUAACAGCGCAAUCCUUUCCCAGAGCCCAUAUCAACGAAAGGGUUUACGACCUCGAUGUUGGAUCAGGGCAUCCUAACGGUGCAGCCGCUGUUAAGGG